RNAcentral lists this ribosomal RNA (539 nucleotides) under Lactobacillus delbrueckii subsp. bulgaricus. RNAcentral describes it as "bacterial SSU rRNA". It matches the Rfam family "Bacterial small subunit ribosomal RNA", at positions 45 to 555 of the family's 1533-position model. The record is from RNAcentral. Lineage: Bacteria; Bacillati; Bacillota; Bacilli; Lactobacillales; Lactobacillaceae.
UGCCUAAUAAUGGCAGUCGAGCGAGCUGAAUUCAAGAUCCCUUCGGGGUGAUUUGUUGGACGCUAGCGGCGGAUGGGUGAGUAACACGUGGGCAAUCUGCCCUAAAGACUGGGAUACCACUUGGAAACAGGUGCUAAUACCGGAUAACAACAUGAAUCGCAUGAUUCAAGUUUGAAAGGCGGCGCAAGCUGUCACUUUAGGAUGAGCCCGCGGCGCAUUAGCUAGUUGGUGGGGUGAAGGCCUACCAUGGGAAUGAUGCGUAUCCGAGUUGAGAGACUGAUCGGCCACAUUGGGACUGAGACACGGCCCAAACUCCUACGGGAGGCAGCAGUAGGGAAUCUUCCACAAUGGACGCAAGUCUGAUGGAGCAACGCCGCGUGAGUGAAGAAGGUUUUCGGAUCGUAAAGCUCUGUUGUUGGUGAAGAAGGAUAGAGGCAGUAACUGGUCUUUAUUUGACGGUAAUCAACCAGAAAGUCACGGCUAACUACGUGCCAGCAGCCGCGGUAAUACGUAGGUGGCAAGCGUUGUCCGGAUUUAUU